Non-coding RNA from Peromyscus maniculatus bairdii (prairie deer mouse), 330 nucleotides. NCBI's taxonomy places the organism in Eukaryota, Metazoa, Chordata, Mammalia, Rodentia, Cricetidae. The record is from RefSeq and is a predicted model, not a curated record.
AUGUAUGUGAGGGGAAGAAGAGCUGUGUAAAGCUGAUUGGCCUCCUCAUGGACUGAAGGUUCUGUGCUGGCUGUAUGUCCUGUCCUGUGCAUUUAGGUCCACCCGCAUUUGUGACCUUCCCCCAAAGAAGAAUAAGAAGAAUGAGGAGGGGGAGGAGGAGGAGAAGGAGAACAAGUCCAAUUUGUGUUGGCCACAUACUCACUGGAGCAUGGUCAAACUUACCAUGGCCUUAAAGAAAACUGAGUCCCCAUUGUACCCCAACAGAAGCCAUCAACUGUGGAGAGCUAUACUUCAACAUCCUUAUCACAUUUUAAAGAGUUCCCUAUGAUG